This 829-nucleotide long non-coding RNA is filed under the name Monodelphis domestica (gray short-tailed opossum). RNAcentral's name for it is "lncRNA (ENSMODG00000039967.1)". The record is from RNAcentral. Lineage: Eukaryota; Metazoa; Chordata; Mammalia; Didelphimorphia; Didelphidae.
UUGUUCUCUCUUUCCCCUCUUCAUCUACAACUUAGGACUUUAGAGGGUUACUGGGUACUGAGGAAUUAAGUGACUUGCACAGAAUUAUACUGCCAGGAAGGUAGAACUUGAACCCAAGUCUUCCUGACUCCAAACCUGGCUAUCCACUAUGUUACCCUGUCAUUCAUGGUUCUGUUGAUUUGAGUCCUGUCAUAAAAAAAAAAAAGUUAGCUCUUAGACUCCUCUUAGUAUUAUUUUUUCUUUCAUAGGAUCGUAGAUUUGGAACUGUAAAGGAUUUUGGAGUUCAGUGGGUCCAACCUCUUCAUUUUACAGAUGAGAAAAUUGAGGAUUAAAGAGGGAUUAAGCAACUUGUCUAAAGUGGCCCAGCUAGGUUGUUCUGAGAAUUGGAUGAAGCAAGAAUGGGAUACGAAUGGGGAAAGCUAUAUAAAAAGUGCCUAUGGGGGUCCCUCCUAAGGAAUUGUCCUUCUAGGAAAAUGCAGACAGAAGUCAAAUGGAGAGGCGGAACCAAGAUGGCAGAGUAAAGAAGCACUUCACCAAGCUCUCCGAAAUUCCCCUCCUCGUGGCUCUAGAAGAAUGUUUCAAAUCCAAUUCCAGACUUCUCUGUUUUCUUAAAUAUACAACGUGAAGUUUGUCAUUUGCUUUUGUGACAACAGGACGGAGCAGUAUCCUUUUCUCGAAGUCCAGGCUUAUCUCCUUGUGUUAGGCAGCCCAGCUCUUGGUGGACUUGGUCUUGGCAGGAGCUCACUUCCUAGACAGAGUUUUUUCCAGUAACACUUGGGACUAGUUUUGUAUAAAGGUCACUUGCCCAGAGAGCAAAUAACUCCAAGAA